AUCACUUCUUGGUCUUUUGGCUAAGAUCAAGUGUAGUGUUUGUUCUUUUUCAGUUUAAUAUCUGAUAUGUCCUCUAUCUGAGGACAAUAUUAAAUGGAUUUUUGGAGCAGGGAGAUGGAAUAGGAGAUUACUCUGUCCACUCCAUGCAUCAACCUGGUAUUGCUGUACCUCCAGGAACAGUGUACCCCCU
Molecule: small nuclear RNA, 190 nt
Organism: Ursus americanus (American black bear)
Lineage: Eukaryota; Metazoa; Chordata; Mammalia; Carnivora; Ursidae
Gene: U2
Rfam family: U2 spliceosomal RNA
About the family: U2 is a small nuclear RNA (snRNA) component of the spliceosome (involved in pre-mRNA splicing). Complementary binding between U2 snRNA (in an area lying towards the 5' end but 3' to hairpin I) and the branchpoint sequence (BPS) of the intron results the bulging out of an unpaired adenosine, on the BPS, which initiates a nucleophilic attack at the intronic 5' splice site, thus starting the first of two transesterification reactions that mediate splicing.
Source: Ensembl